GCAGUCGAACGCGAACGUUUCCUUCGGGGAACUAGUAGAGUGGCGCACGGGUGAGUAACGCGUAAGUAAUCUACCCUCGCAUUCGGGAUAACCCACCGAAAGGUGUGCUAAUACCGGAUACGUCUCAUUUAAUAUCUUUUGAUGAGAGAAAGGUGGCCUCUUGAAUCAAAGCUACUGUGCGGGGAGGAGCUUGCGUACCAUUAGCUAGUUGGUAGGGUAACGGCCUACCAAGGCGAUGAUGGUUAGCGGGUCUGAGAGGAUGAUCCGCCACACUGGAACUGGAACACGGACCAGACUCCUACGGGAGGCAGCAGUGAGGAAUAUUGCGCAAUGGGGGCAACCCUGACGCAGCGACGCCGCGUGGAUGAUGAAGGCCUUCGGGUUGUAAAAUCCUGUCAGAUGGGAAGAAGUGUGUAUCACCCAAUACGUGAUACAUUUGACGGUACCAUCAAAGGAAGCACCGGCUAACUCCGUGCCAGCAGCCGCGGUAAUACGGAGGGUGCAAGCGUUGUUCGGAAUUACUGGGCGUAAAGCGCGCGUAGGCGGCUAGAUAAGUCAGAUGUGAAAGCCCGCGGCUCAACCGUGGAAGAGCAUU
Molecule: ribosomal RNA, 595 nt
Filed under: uncultured Desulfobacterales bacterium
Lineage: Bacteria; Pseudomonadati; Thermodesulfobacteriota; Desulfobacteria; Desulfobacterales
Description: bacterial SSU rRNA
Rfam family: Bacterial small subunit ribosomal RNA
Source: RNAcentral